AGUGCUGGAAAUGACACAAAUUAGUAUUAAAUUUGGAUAGACUCUUAUAUACUCCCUCGGAUUAGUAUUUUUAUUGGUAUUAGAUGAUAAAAUAUGAAUAAUACUUUAUAUGUGACUAUUUUUUUAAAUUUUUUUAUAAAUUUUUUAAAUAAGACGGACGGUCAAACGUUGGACAUGGAUAUCCACGACUGCACUUAUU
This is a microRNA precursor of Oryza sativa Japonica Group (Japanese rice), 199 nucleotides long. It matches the Rfam family "MIR812 microRNA precursor family". Lineage: Eukaryota; Viridiplantae; Streptophyta; Magnoliopsida; Poales; Poaceae. The record is from Rfam.